UGGGGAAUAUUGCACAAUGGAGGGAACUCUGAUGCAGCGACGCCGCGUGAACGAAGAAGGCUUUCGAGUCGUAAAGUUCUUUUAUAUGGGAAGAUAAUGACGGUACCAUAAGAAAAAGCCCCGGCUAACUACGUGCCAGCAGCCGCGGUAAUACGUAGGGGGCUAGCGUUGUCCGGAAUCACUGGGCGUAAAGGGUUCGCAGGCGGAAAUGCAAGUCAGGUGUAAAAGGCAGUAGCUUAACUACUGUAAGCAUUUGAAACUGCAUAUCUUGAGAAGAGUAGAGGUAAGUGGAAUUUUUAGUGUAGCGGUGAAAUGCGUAGAUAUCGGGAAGAACACCAAUGGCGAAAGCGGCUCUCUGGUCUGUAACUGACGCUGAGGCUCGAAAGCGUGGGGAGCGAACAGG
RNAcentral lists this ribosomal RNA (403 nucleotides) under Bacteroidota bacterium. RNAcentral describes it as "Bacteroidetes bacterium partial 16S ribosomal RNA". It matches the Rfam family "Bacterial small subunit ribosomal RNA", at positions 355 to 776 of the family's 1533-position model. The record is from RNAcentral. Lineage: Bacteria; Pseudomonadati; Bacteroidota.